UCCUACGGGAGGCAGCAGUGGGGAAUUUUGGACAAUGGGCGAAAGCCUGAUCCAGCAAUGCCGCGUGUGCGAAGAAGGCCUUCGGGUUGUAAAGCACUUUUGUCAGGGAAGAAAUCGUUUGGGUUAAUACCCCGAGCAGUUGACGGUACCUGAAGAAUAAGCACCGGCUAACUACGUGCCAGCAGCCGCGGUAAU
RNAcentral lists this ribosomal RNA (195 nucleotides) under uncultured bacterium. RNAcentral describes it as "partial 16S ribosomal RNA". It matches the Rfam family "Bacterial small subunit ribosomal RNA", at positions 337 to 524 of the family's 1533-position model. The record is from RNAcentral.